Molecule: ribosomal RNA, 1442 nt
Filed under: uncultured organism
Description: SSU rRNA
Rfam family: Bacterial small subunit ribosomal RNA
Source: RNAcentral
ACGCUAGCUACUGGCUUAACACAUGCAAGUCGAGGGGCAUCAGGAAGAAAGCUUGCUUUCUUUGCUGGCGACCGGCGCACGGGUGAGUAACACGUAUCCAACCUGCCCUUUACUCGGGGAUAGCCUUUCGAAAGAAAGAUUAAUACCCGAUAGCAUAAUGAUUCCGCAUGGUUUCAUUAUUAAAGGAUUCCGGUAAAGGAUGGGGAUGCGUUCCAUUAGGUUGUUGGUGAGGUAACGGCCCACCAAGCCUUCGAUGGAUAGGGGUUCUGAGAGGAAGGUCCCCCACAUUGGAACUGAGACACGGUCCAAACUCCUACGGGAGGCAGCAGUGAGGAAUAUUGGUCAAUGGGCGCUAGCCUGAACCAGCCAAGUAGCGUGAAGGAUGAAGGCUCUAUGGGUCGUAAACUUCUUUUAUAUAAGAAUAAAGUGCAGUAUGUAUACUGUUUUGUAUGUAUUAUAUGAAUAAGGAUCGGCUAACUCCGUGCCAGCAGCCGCGGUAAUACGGAGGAUCCGAGCGUUAUCCGGAUUUAUUGGGUUUAAAGGGAGCGUAGGUGGACUGGUAAGUCAGUUGUGAAAGUUUGCGGCUCAACCGUAAAAUUGCAGUUGAUACUGUCAGUCUUGAGUACAGUAGAGGUGGGCGGAAUUCGUGGUGUAGCGGUGAAAUGCUUAGAUAUCACGAAGAACUCCGAUUGCGAAGGCAGCUCACUGGACUGCAACUGACACUGAUGCUCGAAAGUGUGGGUAUCAAACAGGAUUAGAUACCCUGGUAGUCCACACAGUAAACGAUGAAUACUCGCUGUUUGCGAUAUACAGUAAGCGGCCAAGCGAAAGCAUUAAGUAUUCCACCUGGGGAGUACGCCGGCAACGGUGAAACUCAAAGGAAUUGACGGGGGCCCGCACAAGCGGAGGAACAUGUGGUUUAAUUCGAUGAUACGCGAGGAACCUUACCCGGGCUUAAAUUGCAGUGGAAUGAUGUGGAAACAUGUCAGUGAGCAAUCACCGCUGUGAAGGUGCUGCAUGGUUGUCGUCAGCUCGUGCCGUGAGGUGUCGGCUUAAGUGCCAUAACGAGCGCAACCCUUAUCUUUAGUUACUAACAGGUUAUGCUGAGGACUCUAGAGAGACUGCCGUCGUAAGAUGUGAGGAAGGUGGGGAUGACGUCAAAUCAGCACGGCCCUUACGUCCGGGGCUACACACGUGUUACAAUGGGGGGUACAGAAGGCAGCUAGCGGGUGACCGUAUGCUAAUCCCAAAAUCCUCUCUCAGUUCGGAUCGAAGUCUGCAACCCGACUUCGUGAAGCUGGAUUCGCUAGUAAUCGCGCAUCAGCCACGGCGCGGUGAAUACGUUCCCGGGCCUUGUACACACCGCCCGUCAAGCCAUGGGAGCCGGGGGUACCUGAAGUACGUAACCGCAAGGAUCGUCCUAGGGUAAAACUGGUGAAAGG